RNAcentral lists this ribosomal RNA (1310 nucleotides) under uncultured bacterium. RNAcentral describes it as "bacterial SSU rRNA". It matches the Rfam family "Bacterial small subunit ribosomal RNA", at positions 28 to 1381 of the family's 1533-position model. The record is from RNAcentral.
GAUGAACGCUGGCGGCGUGCCUAACACAUGCAAGUCGAGCGACUGAGCGGCGGACGGGUGAGUAACGCGUGGGUAACCUGCCCUGUACAUAUGGAUAACAUGCUGAAAAGCAUACUAAUACAUAAUAACGUACAUUGAAGGCAUCUUCGAUGUAUCAAAGCGUUAGCGGUACAGGAUGGACCCGCGUCUGAUUAGCUAGUUGGUGGGGUAAAAGCCUACCAAGGCGACGAUCAGUAGCCGACCUGAGAGGGUGAUCGGCCACAUUGGAACUGAGACACGGUCCAAACUCCUACGGGAGGCAGCAGUGGGGGAUAUUGCACAAUGGGCGAAAGCCCGAUGCAGCAACGCCGCGUGAACGAUGAAGGUCUUCGGAUCGUAAAGUUCUGUUGCAGGGGAAGAUAAUGACGGUACCCUGUGAGGAAGCACCGGCUAACUACGUGCCAGCAGCCGCGGUAAUACGUAGGGUGCUAGCGUUAUCCGGAUUUACUGGGCGUAAAGGGUGCGUAGGUGGUCUUUCAAGUCGGUGGUUAAAGGCUACGGCUCAACCGUAUUAAGCCGCCGAAACUGGAAGACUUGAGUGCAGGAGAGGAAAGUGGAAUUCUCGGUGUAGCGGUGAAAUGCGUAGAUAUUGGGAAGAACACCAGUAGCGAAGGCGGCUUUCUGGACUGCAACUGACACUGAGGCACGAAAGCGUGGGUAGCAAACAGGAUUAGAUACCCUGGUAGUCCACGCCGUAAACGAUGAGUACUAGGUGUCGGGGGUUACCCCCCUCGGUGCCGCAGUUAACGCAUUAAGUACUCCGCCUGGGGAGUACGCACGCAAGUGUGAAACUCAAAGGAAUUGACGGGGACCCGCACAAGUAGCGGAGCAUGUGGUUUAAUUCGAAGCAACGCGAAGAACCUUACCUAAGCUUGACAUCCCUCGGACCGGUAGUUAAUCCUACCUUCCCUUCGGGGCCGAGGUGACAGGUGGUGCAUGGUUGUCGUCAGCUCGUGUCGUGAGAUGUUGGGUUAAGUCCCGCAACGAGCGCAACCCUUGUCUUUAGUUGCCAGCAUUUAGUUGGGCACUCUAGAGAGACUGCCAGGGAUAACCUGGAGGAAGGUGGGGAUGACGUCAAAUCACCAUGCCCCUUAUGCUUAGGGCUACACACGUGCUACAAUGGGUGGUACGGAGGGUUGCCAAACCGUGAGGUAGAGCUAAUCCCUUAAAGCCAUUCUCAGUUCGGAUUGUAGGCUGAAACUCGCCUACAUGAAGCUGGAGUUACUAGUAAUCGCAGAUCAGAAUGCUGCGGUGAAUGCGUUCCCGGGUCU